This 425-nucleotide ribosomal RNA is filed under the name uncultured bacterium. RNAcentral's name for it is "partial 16S ribosomal RNA". It matches the Rfam family "Bacterial small subunit ribosomal RNA", at positions 354 to 796 of the family's 1533-position model. The record is from RNAcentral.
GUGGGGAAUCUUGCGCAAUGGGCGAAAGCCUGACGCAGCCAUGCCGCGUGAAUGAUGGAGGUCUUAGGAUUGUAAAAUUCUUUCACCGGGGACGAUAAUGACGGUACCCGGAGAAGAAGCUCCGGCUAACUUCGUGCCAGCAGCCGCGGUAAUACGAAGGGGGCUAGCGUUGCUCGGAAUUACUGGGCGUAAAGGGCGCGUAGGCGGACAGCUUAGUCAGAGGUGAAAGCCCAGGGCUCAACCUUGGAAUUGCCUUUGAUACUGGCUGUCUUGAGUUUGGGAGAGGUGAGUGGAACUCCGAGUGUAGAGGUGAAAUUCGUAGAUAUUCGGAAGAACACCAGUGGCGAAGGCGACUCACUGGCCCAAUACUGACGCUGAGGCGCGAAAGCGUGGGGAGCAAACAGGAUUAGAAACCCCGGUAGUCC